This 852-nucleotide ribosomal RNA is filed under the name Enterococcus durans. Its description in RNAcentral is "bacterial SSU rRNA". It matches the Rfam family "Bacterial small subunit ribosomal RNA", at positions 61 to 883 of the family's 1533-position model. The record is from RNAcentral. Lineage: Bacteria; Bacillati; Bacillota; Bacilli; Lactobacillales; Enterococcaceae.
GUCGUACGCUUCUUUUUCCACCGGAGCUUGCUCCACCGGAAAAAGAAGAGUGGCGAACGGGUGAGUAACACGUGGGUAACCUGCCCAUCAGAAGGGGAUAACACUUGGAAACAGGUGCUAAUACCGUAUAACAAUCGAAACCGCAUGGUUUUGAUUUGAAAGGCGCUUUCGGGUGUCGCUGAUGGAUGGACCCGCGGUGCAUUAGCUAGUUGGUGAGGUAACGGCUCACCAAGGCCACGAUGCAUAGCCGACCUGAGAGGGUGAUCGGCCACAUUGGGACUGAGACACGGCCCAAACUCCUACGGGAGGCAGCAGUAGGGAAUCUUCGGCAAUGGACGAAAGUCUGACCGAGCAACGCCGCGUGAGUGAAGAAGGUUUUCGGAUCGUAAAACUCUGUUGUUAGAGAAGAACAAGGAUGAGAGUAACUGUUCAUCCCUUGACGGUAUCUAACCAGAAAGCCACGGCUAACUACGUGCCAGCAGCCGCGGUAAUACGUAGGUGGCAAGCGUUGUCCGGAUUUAUUGGGCGUAAAGCGAGCGCAGGCGGUUUCUUAAGUCUGAUGUGAAAGCCCCCGGCUCAACCGGGGAGGGUCAUUGGAAACUGGGAGACUUGAGUGCAGAAGAGGAGAGUGGAAUUCCAUGUGUAGCGGUGAAAUGCGUAGAUAUAUGGAGGAACACCAGUGGCGAAGGCGGCUCUCUGGUCUGUAACUGACGCUGAGGCUCGAAAGCGUGGGGAGCAAACAGGAUUAGAUACCCUGGUAGUCCACGCCGUAAACGAUGAGUGCUAAGUGUUGGAGGGUUUCCGCCCUUCAGUGCUGCAGCUAACGCAUUAAGCACUCCGCCUGGGGAGUAC